UACGUAGGGUGCGAGCGUUGUCCGGAAUUAUUGGGCGUAAAGGGCUCGUAGGCGGUCUGUUGCGUCAGGAGUGAAAACUCGGGGCUUAACCCCGAGCCUGCUUCUGAUACGGGCAGACUAGGGGUAUGCAGGGGAGGACGGAAUUCCUGGUGUAGCGGUGAAAUGCGCAGAUAUCAGGAGGAACACCGGUGGCGAAGGCGGUUCUCUGGGCAUUACCUGACGCUGAGGAGCGAAGGCCAGGGGAGCAAACGGG
Molecule: ribosomal RNA, 253 nt
Filed under: uncultured bacterium
Lineage: Bacteria
Description: partial 16S ribosomal RNA
Rfam family: Bacterial small subunit ribosomal RNA
Source: RNAcentral